GAAAAAUCCAAAUCCAAAAGCUUCAUUUUUAUUUUUGGUAUUUAAUAAGAUUCUUUUCUGGCAAAGAAUUCAAGGUAAAAGAUUUUUAUACACACUUUAGUAUUACAACUAUUUUAAUUAUUACUAGUAAUUAAAACCUCUGUUCUGUGCAUACUGUUUUUUCCAAGAAACCCUCUUAUUAUAAUAAAAUCUUGAGUCAUUUCAGCUAUGUGCAAAGUUGAUAAAGUCACUGACUGAAUUUUUUUAAAAAGCUUGAUGCUUAAAUGCUUAAAUAAAUGCUUAAAUCUACUUUUAAGCAUUUAUGUCAGUGAAUUCAAAAUACUAUUAUCUUUAAAUCACUCAAAACCCAUUUUAAACUUGUAUGCCUUUACUCAGUUAGUUCCAAUGGAGUGUUAAAGGGAGGAAAAGAAGAAAAAAUUACUCCUAGGACUGAGUAAUAUUCUGAGCUCAUCAAUCUAUCUUUAGGUAUUGGGAAUAUGCAUUAAAAACAUUUUUUUACCUUGUCUCGUGAUACAGCUGAAGGUAAUUCUCUGGCUAGCCUGUUUCUCCUUUGUUCCUAAGAAACACAAGCAAAACAAAAGUGAUUAUCCAAGUAUUGAGAUAUAUGCCUACUAAAAAAUGUUCAUGUUAAUUGAAAAGUGUGGAGUAACUUACAGAUACAUCCUCUCACUGUUGGGACUCAUGCCAUAAUUAUCAUAUUUUAAAAUAAAUAAGAAAUCAUUUAACCCAAA
Molecule: long non-coding RNA, 731 nt
Organism: Homo sapiens (human)
Lineage: Eukaryota; Metazoa; Chordata; Mammalia; Primates; Hominidae
Source: Ensembl